RNAcentral lists this ribosomal RNA (867 nucleotides) under Kushneria pakistanensis. RNAcentral describes it as "bacterial SSU rRNA". It matches the Rfam family "Bacterial small subunit ribosomal RNA", at positions 49 to 909 of the family's 1533-position model. Lineage: Bacteria; Pseudomonadati; Pseudomonadota; Gammaproteobacteria; Oceanospirillales; Halomonadaceae. The record is from RNAcentral.
CUACCAUGCAGUCGAGCGGUAACAGGGGUAGCUUGCUACCCGCUGACGAGCGGCGGACGGGUGAGUAAUGCAUGGGAAUCUGCCCGGUAGUGGGGGAUAACUCGGGGAAACCCGAGCUAAUACCGCAUACGUCCUACGGGAGAAAGCAGGGGAUCUUCGGACCUUGCGCUAUCGGAUGAGCCCAUGCCGGAUUAGCUUGUUGGUGAGGUAAUGGCUCACCAAGGCAACGAUCCGUAGCUGGUCUGAGAGGAUGAUCAGCCACACCGGGACUGAGACACGGCCCGGACUCCUACGGGAGGCAGCAGUGGGGAAUAUUGGACAAUGGGGGAAACCCUGAUCCAGCCAUGCCGCGUGUGUGAAGAAGGCCUUCGGGUUGUAAAGCACUUUCAGUGGGGAAGAAUGCCUUGUGGUUAAUACCCGCGAGGAAGGACAUCACCCACAGAAGAAGCACCGGCUAACUCCGUGCCAGCAGCCGCGGUAAUACGGAGGGUGCAAGCGUUAAUCGGAAUUACUGGGCGUAAAGGGCGCGUAGGCGGCUCGUCAAGCCGGAUGUGAAAGCCCCGGGCUCAACCCGGGAACGGCAUUCGGAACUGGCUGGCUAGAGUGCAGGAGAGGAAGGUGGAAUUCCCGGUGUAGCGGUGAAAUGCGUAGAGAUCGGGAGGAAUACCAGUGGCGAAGGCGGCCUUCUGGACUGACACUGACGCUGAGGCGCGAAAGCGUGGGUAGCAAACAGGAUUAGAUACCCUGGUAGUCCACGCCGUAAACGAUGUCGACCAGCCGUUGGACCCCUUGAGGGUUUGGUGGCGUAGUUAACGCAAUAAGUCGACCGCCUGGGGAGUACGGCCGCAAGGCUAAAACUCAAAUGAA